This is a long non-coding RNA of Nomascus leucogenys (northern white-cheeked gibbon), 728 nucleotides long. RefSeq lists it as uncharacterized. Lineage: Eukaryota; Metazoa; Chordata; Mammalia; Primates; Hylobatidae. The record is from RefSeq and is a predicted model, not a curated record. The transcript is spliced from 3 exons.
GCGGCCGCGGUGGAGCUUUACCGCGGGCGCCCCAGAACCCCCGAAGCGCGUCCCCGCGCAGGCCGUGGGCGCGCACGGCCGCUGCCGCCGUUUGUUCUGGUUGAGGCUGCGAGUGCCUGGGCCUGUGACUCCCGGCUCUCCGCGCGCAGCAUGCCCUGGACAUCAUUCCGAAUAGCACAAUUCAAGGGUGGCUGAAACAACAAAAAUGUAACGUCUUACAGAUCUGAAGGCUUCCGGGUCGAUUCUGGACUGUGAUGAGAGCCUGUGCCAUGCCUCUCUCAUGGCUUCUGGUAGACUCGGGCAUUCCUUAGCUUGUAAAUGGCUGCUGCUUGUGUCAUCACAUUGUCUAACCUUUCUACUUAUCUGUCCCCAUGCCCCAAUUUUUCCUUUUCAGGACACCAGUCAGAUUAGGACCCACCCUAAUGAUCUCAUCUUAACUUGAUUAACUACAAGGACCCUAUUUUUAAGUAAGUCCACAUUUACAGAGACUGGGGGGUAGGACUUCAACAUCUUUUUGGAGGGAUGCAGUUCAACCCAUAACAAGAAUCAUUUUUAGAAAUGAUUUUGCUUCUUCACUGAAAAAUUAAUAUCAUUCUGCAGAGAACUGACUUGCUGCACAUGGCACAGAUUUUUUGCAUUUAUCGUAGUAAAAGAAAUCAGUCACAAAAGCUUGUUUUAGACUGCUAUAUACCUAUCCCAAAUACAAAUUAUUUCCAACAUUAAAAGUU